CCUACGGGAGGCAGCAGUGGGGGAUAUUGCACAAUGGGGGAAACCCUGAUGCAGCGACGCCGCGUGGGAGAAGAAGUAUUUCGGUAUGUAAAGCCCUAUCAGCAGGGAAGAAGAAAUGACGGUACCUGAGUAAGAAGCACCGGCUAAAUACGUGCAAGCAGCCGCGGUAAUACGUAUGGUGCAAGCGUUAUCCGGAUGUACUGGGUGGAAAGGGAGCGCAGGCGGCACGGCAAGCCUGAUGUGAAAGCCCGCGGCCCAACCGCGGGACUGCAUUGGGAACUACCGGGCUGGAGUGCCGGAGAGGUAGGCGGAAUUCCUAGUGUAGCGGUGAAAUGCGUAGAUAUUAGGAGGAACACCAGUGGCGAAGGCGGCCUACUGGACGGUGACUGACGCUGAGGCUCGAAAGCGUGGGGAGCAAACAGGAUUAGAUACCCUAGUAGUC
This 442-nucleotide ribosomal RNA is filed under the name uncultured bacterium. RNAcentral describes it as "partial 16S ribosomal RNA". It matches the Rfam family "Bacterial small subunit ribosomal RNA", at positions 338 to 795 of the family's 1533-position model. The record is from RNAcentral.